AGUGCAAUCCUGAAUGUAUGUACAGGCUGGGGAAUGAGAAGUUGGAGAGCAGCCCUGCAGAAAGGGAUCUGGGGGUUCUGUUUGAUGACAAGUUGCAUAUGAGUCAACAGUGUACCCUGGAAGCCAAAAGGACCAACCAUGAAGCAUAGCAUCUUUAGCUGGUCGAGGGAUGUGGUUGUCCUGCUCUGCUCUGUGCUGGUACAGCCACACCACUGCUGUGUGCAGUUUGGGGGCAUCACUGUAUAAGAAGGAAAUAAAACUAUUAAAGAGCAUCCAAAGGACAGCUACAAAUAUGGUGAAGGCUUUACAUAUAAGUGGAUGAAUUUACUUGGAUUGUUCAUCCUAGAGUGGAGUAGACUGAAGAGAGACCUCAGCUUUCUCACUGUGGUGAUCAACAGCUUCCUCAUGAGGUAGAUCAGAGGGGCAGGCAGUAAUCUCUCUGUUGACCAGUGAAAGAACCUGAGGGAAUGGCAUGAAGCUGCACCAGGGCAGGUUUGGUCUGCAUGUUAGGAAAAGGUUCUUCAAUGAGAGGGUGGUUAACUACUGGAACAAGUUCCCAGGGGCAGGGGUCACUGCACUGAGCUUGCUGGAGUUCAGGAAGUGUUUGGAUAAUGCUCUCAGAUAUAUGGGCUGAUUGUUAAAUAGUACUUUGUGA
This is a long non-coding RNA of Oxyura jamaicensis (ruddy duck), 655 nucleotides long. RefSeq lists it as uncharacterized. NCBI's taxonomy places the organism in Eukaryota, Metazoa, Chordata, Aves, Anseriformes, Anatidae. The record is from RefSeq and is a predicted model, not a curated record. The transcript has 3 exons.